GUCGAGGGGCAGCAUGAACUUAGCUUGCUAAGUUUGAUGGCGACCGGCGCACGGGUGAGUAACACGUAUCCAACCUGCCGAUGACUCGGGGAUAGCCUUUCGAAAGAAAGAUUAAUACCCGAUGGCAUAGUUCUUCCGCAUGGUAGAACUAUUAAAGAAUUUCGGUCAUCGAUGGGGAUGCGUUCCAUUAGGUUGUUGGCGGGGUAACGGCCCACCAAGCCUUCGAUGGAUAGGGGUUCUGAGAGGAAGGUCCCCCACAUUGGAACUGAGACACGGUCCAAACUCCUACGGGAGGCAGCAGUGAGGAAUAUUGGUCAAUGGACGAGAGUCUGAACCAGCCAAGUAGCGUGAAGGAUGACUGCCCUAUGGGUUGUAAACUUCUUUUAUACGGGAAUAAAGUGAGGCACGUGUGCCUUUUUGUAUGUACCGUAUGAAUAAGGAUCGGCUAACUCCGUGCCAGCAGCCGCGGUAAUACGGAGGAUCCGAGCGUUAUCCGGAUUUAUUGGGUUUAAAGGGAGCGUAGGCGGACGCUUAAGUCAGUUGUGAAAGUUUGCGGCUCAACCGUAAAAUUGCAGUUGAUACUGGGUGUCUUGAAUACAGUAGAGGCAGGCGGAAUUCGUGGUGUAGCGGUGAAAUGCUUAGAUAUCACGAAGAACUCCGAUUGCGAAGGCAGCUUGCUGGACUGUAACU
Molecule: ribosomal RNA, 690 nt
Filed under: uncultured bacterium
Lineage: Bacteria
Description: bacterial SSU rRNA
Rfam family: Bacterial small subunit ribosomal RNA
Source: RNAcentral